CAGUCGCCGCGGUAAUACGUAGGGUGCGAGCGUUAAUCGGAAUUACUGGGCGUAAAGCGUGCGCAGGCGGUUAUGUAAGACAGUUGUGAAAUCCCCGGGCUCAACCUGGGAACUGCAUCUGUGACUGCAUAGCUAGAGUACGGUAGAGGGGGAUGGAAUUCCGCGUGUAGCAGUGAAAUGCGUAGAGAUCUGAGGAAUACCGGUGGCGAAGGCGGCCCCCUGGACAAAGACUGACGCUCAGGUGCGAAAGCGUGGGGAGCAAACAGGAUUAGAUACCCCAGUAGUCCCUGUCUCUUAUACA
RNAcentral lists this ribosomal RNA (301 nucleotides) under uncultured bacterium. Its description in RNAcentral is "partial 16S ribosomal RNA". It matches the Rfam family "Bacterial small subunit ribosomal RNA", at positions 509 to 808 of the family's 1533-position model. The record is from RNAcentral.